GGCUCAUUAUAACAGUUAUAGUUUAUUUGAUGGUUUCAAUUACGUGGAUAACCGUAGUAAUUCUAGAGCUAAUACAUGCUAAAUACCCUGGCUUUGCUGUCGGGGUGCAUUUAUUAGAUGUCGAACCCAAUGCUCUUCGGAGCUUAUUGAGGACUCAUAAUAACUCUCGCAGAUCGCACAUUGUGCGGCGUAUCAUUCAAGUUUCUGACCUAUCANUUAGUCGGUAGUGUAUUGGACUACUGAGGCUCUGACGGGUAACGGAGAAUUAGGGUUCGAUUCCGGAGAGGGAGCCUGAGAAACGGCUACCACAUCUAAGGAAGGCAGCAGGCGCGUAACUUACCCAAUCCUGACUCAGGGAGGUAGUGACAAGAAAUCACAAUAUUUCGCCCAAUUGGGCAAAAUAAUUGUAUUGAGAACAGGCUAAACAUGUUAACGAUAAACCAUUGGAGGGCAAGUCUGGUGCCAGCAGCCGCGGUAAUUCCAGCUCCAAUAGCGUAUACUAACGUUGUUGCAGUUAAAAAGCUCGUAGUUGGAUUUUUAGAAGCGUGUAAGCGUAGUGACCUUUCGUGUCUCUUAACGUGAGCACCGCUUUUAUUUUGUCCCGGCGUUUGGUUGGCAUUAGUUUGCCGAUCUAAUUGUUGGGGCGUGUUUACUUUGAGAAAAUUAGAGUGUUCACAACAGUCAUACGAUUGUAUAUCAUAGCAUGGAAUAAUAACUGAUGACCUCGGUCCUCUUUUGUUGGAUUCAGAUGGCUGAUGUAAUGAUUGAUAGGG
RNAcentral lists this ribosomal RNA (773 nucleotides) under Pterocanium praetextum. RNAcentral's name for it is "SSU rRNA". It matches the Rfam family "Eukaryotic small subunit ribosomal RNA", at positions 95 to 877 of the family's 1831-position model. Lineage: Eukaryota; Polycystinea; Nassellaria; Theoperidae. The record is from RNAcentral.